RNAcentral lists this ribosomal RNA (504 nucleotides) under uncultured bacterium. Its description in RNAcentral is "partial 16S ribosomal RNA". It matches the Rfam family "Bacterial small subunit ribosomal RNA", at positions 30 to 523 of the family's 1533-position model. The record is from RNAcentral.
AUUGAACGCUGGCGGCAGGCCUAACACAUGCAAGUCGAACGGUAGCACAGAGAGCUUGCUCUUGGGUGACGAGUGGCGGACGGGUGAGUAAUGUCUGGGAAACUGCCCGAUGGAGGGGGAUAACUACUGGAAACGGUAGCUAAUACCGCAUAACGUCUUCGGACCAAAGUGGGGGACCUUCGGGCCUCACACCAUCGGAUGUGCCCAGAUGGGAUUAGCUAGUAGGUGGGGUAAAGGCUCACCUAGGCGACGAUCCCUAGCUGGUCUGAGAGGAUGACCAGCCAAACUGGAACUGAGACACGGUCCAGACUCCUACGGGAGGCAGCAGUGGGGAAUAUUGCACAAUGGGCGCAAGCCUGAUGCAGCCAUGCCGCGUGUAUGAAGAAGGCCUUCGGGUUGUAAAGUACUUUCAGCGGGGAGGAAGGCGUUAAGGUUAAUAACCUUGGCGAUUGACGUUACCCGCAGAAGAAGCACCGGCUAACUCCGUGCCAACAGCCGCCGUAA